ACCCUGGCCACCUGGCCCAGUCCUUGCUCUUCUCUGGGCUGUGGGUUCUCCUCACACUACAAUGUGGUCUUUUGUUUUGGGUUUAACCACUGACCACAUCCCCAGCCCUUUUUAUUUUUUAUUGAGACAGAGUCCCACUGAUUGCUCAGGACCUCACUGAGUUGCCUCUCCCUCCCCUGUCCUGUCUGGCCUUGAACUUGCCACGCCCUGCUCAGCCCCCUCAGCUGUGGGUGUUUGUUUUGGGGUCAGCUCUGAGACACCUCCCGGCCUGGAACCAUGGUGGGGACUGACUAUAAAAAUGUGGCAGUGGCCACCUGCCCCACAGGCUGGAGGUGGAAAGGCCCUCAUGGCCCAGGGCGCUGCUGACCCCAGUCUGAGGGGCCAUCUCUGUGGCCUGGCUCCACGCUGAGCCCCAGGAAGACCUGGCUGGGACCAGUUAGCCUGUGUUCAGGCCAGUGGCUUUGGGCUUCGUUCUUUGCCUUAUGCGUGCAGUGGGCUGGGUACCCUGUCCUCAGGGGAGAUGAGGAUGGUGGCAAUAAACCACAUUUGAGAGCCUGGCGACAGUCAUUGCUCUCAGAAUGUGUCAUCGUCUCAUCAGAGGAGGUUGGGCAGGGGACAGCAGUUCACAGAACCAGGAUCCGUAGAGAAGAAGGGAGAGAGGGGACCUGGGGAGACUGAGUGGGCAGUGGAUAAGGGACCCACCAGCGUGGUGCAGCUGAGGCCGCCUGCCUCUGCAGGGAGAGAGGACAUGGUCCCAUAAGCCCCCCAGGCAGAGGACCCUGUGGAAGCCGAGCUCUUCCUGUGCCUGCCGUCCCACUUCACUCAAUCCCGUGGUCUCCGCAUGGGACUGCAGGUGACAGCAGCUUCAUGUUCCCGGCAGGGCAGGGUUCCACCAUGUCCACAUGCCCGUUUCCUUGAUCUGCCGUCUGUCCAUGGGCCCUUGGGUGGAUUCCCUACCUGGCUGUUGUGACUAAUGCUGCAGUGAACGGGGGCGUGCAGGGGUCCCUGGGGCCCAAAUCUGUUUGUUUGGAUACAUGUGCCCAGAAGUGGGGCCAGUGGGUCAUACAGGAGGUCCAGGAGGAGGGUGAAGAGAACCCAGGGAAUGGGCGCAAAGCCCCUUGGGCAGGAGGAGGAGGUUGCCAAGUCCACCCCACAGCCAGGGACUGUAUGUGAUGCAUGUGUCCACAGAGCUGGAGGAGUGGAUGGGGGGAUAGGAAGGACAUAGAAUGAAACUGACAUCAUCGUGACUGUGUGUAUAUGCGUGACUGCAGGACCGAUGUGAUUCUGCAACCUGUAUACUCAGAAAAAUGAGAAAUUAUACCGCAUAUGAUUCAAAUGUGUGAUAUGUCAAGGUCAUUGUACUGUCAUGUGUAACUAAGUAAAACAAAUAAAAAGUUAAAAAAAAAGAGCUGGAAGAGAGAAUCGUGAACCACAAAAUUGAUAAUUGAUAUUUAAAGCAAUGGAUAUGCUGAUUAUUCUGAUUUGAUCACCACACAAUUUACACAUAUCAAAAUAUCACAUUG
Molecule: long non-coding RNA, 1523 nt
Filed under: Marmota monax (woodchuck)
Lineage: Eukaryota; Metazoa; Chordata; Mammalia; Rodentia; Sciuridae
Source: RNAcentral